This is a long non-coding RNA of Peromyscus maniculatus bairdii (prairie deer mouse), 1392 nucleotides long. RefSeq lists it as uncharacterized. The record is from RefSeq and is a predicted model, not a curated record. Lineage: Eukaryota; Metazoa; Chordata; Mammalia; Rodentia; Cricetidae.
CUUCCUUCUUGCUGCAUUCACAUUCCUCUGUGUCACCAAGCUGCUCCCAGUCCGGUCUGAGCAAGGUUUAGAGAGGGCAGCUGUGACCUGGAAAGGCUCUUUGAAAGCACAACGUUUAAUAAGGGGGCUCAGCGGUAAAGAGAGGUCCGGUGCCCACCAAAGGGCCGCGGUGGUGUGACGCCCCUCCCCCAUCUAUCUUUCAAAGACCACUCUGCCUCACUGUGGAGCAGGGAUACAGGGCAAUGAUGGACACCAAGGGCUGCUGGGAAGCAACUGCGAUUCAGACACUGAGGCUGGAGAAGGCUCAGGAUCAAGUGGCCUCCCAAGUUGUACUUGACCUCCCAGCUGCAAAAAAGACAAAAAGAACCCCACCCAGAGCUCUCAGGAGCCAAGGCCUCCUGGAGCAAGCAAGGGAGCCUGGGAAGGGACUGAGGCCAGGCAUCUGGCAAGGAACACAGGUCCGAACACAGAUGAGCCAAGCCCUCUGGAGUCCAGCAUCAUCAUUAUCCUCCUGAUCUUCCUCUUUCCUUCCUGGGCCUGAAGUGCCUGCUGUGUGCCAGGCCCUGGGCCCACCAUUGUCCACGUCCCCAUGGUCCCUGGAGGCGGCAGAAGUGGGCAGACACCUGGUGGUGUGUGUUCACAGAGUCAGUCCACAUCCCAAAGUUUUCCACAGUAGGUGCCAGGACCACAGAGAUGACCAAGCCAUGCUCUGCCUGCAGCCGGUUCAGGCUAGCUGAGGACAUGAGUGGGAACUCUUACGUCCAGCCCCAGACAGCUGUGAGAAUGGUGAACAGGAAGCAGAGGGAGAGUGCUGUGGGUCCCCGGAGGGAAACGGCUGUGCCUUUGAAUGUGUGUUUAGUCAUUCGCUUAUUUCAUCGGUUGUCUGUUAUUGAGCAUCUGUGGCCUGGGCGGUGCUGGGAAUAGCCAGAGGACUAUGGGAAAGGCAGGCUUUCCAAUGGGCAGACCACUCUUCGAACCCUUUUCGAGGACAGGCUGAGCUUGUGGUAGAGGCUGCAGGUGUGGGGGCUGGGCAGCAGCAGAUGUGGGAAGUCUGUAGUGGUUAGGAGGUGCGGGCAUGUUAGGUUGUAGACUGGAUCAGGUAGAUGGGAGCCUGCAGUGGGAGGCUGGCAUCUGAGUUAUUCUGUGUUCCGGUUCUACCCAGGGUCAGACCACUGCAGGCAAAGAUAGAAUGGAAGGGUUGGGUCUCAGAAACAGCAGGAGGACCUAUACUCUAUCCAAGGACAUACGCGUGGAACUUUGGAAAUGAUUCUUUAGAACAGAGGGCUUCAUUGUGAAGACUUUCUGGAACCGUGACUUCCACAUCUGCCCCACCCUGGGGUAGAUUUACAUGUCUAUUUACAUGUGUUUGCAUAAAGUAUGAUCUGAUCCAUA